RNAcentral lists this non-coding RNA (31 nucleotides) under Rattus norvegicus (Norway rat). The record is from RNAcentral. Lineage: Eukaryota; Metazoa; Chordata; Mammalia; Rodentia; Muridae.
UGGCCAGUGGCAUGAAUCAAACACAAGGAGA